UAAGUAGAAUAAAUGAUCGCGGCUGCACAGACGUAAGGGUGCAGGUGAGGAAAGUCCGGGCUUCGCAGGGCAGGAUGCCGGAUAACGUCCGGUGGAGGCGACUCCAAGGCCAGUGCAACAGAAAAGAAACCGCCGGAAGCUGCACUAAGCGGCUUUAAGUUUCGCGUAAGCGAUGCUGCACGGUAAGGGUGGAAUGGCAGUGUAAGAGACUACCGCCGCAGCGGUAACGAUGCGGGCUGUGUAAACCCCAUCCGAAGCAAGACCGAAAAGAAAGCGACAGAUUGGCCCGAUCUGCUUUCAGGUGGGUUGCUUGAGAUAUUCGGUAACGGAUAUCCUAGAUAGAUGAUCAUUCACGACAUAACCCGGCUUAUCGUUCUGCUUAGUUU
Molecule: RNase P RNA, 386 nt
Filed under: Lachnospiraceae bacterium
Lineage: Bacteria; Bacillati; Bacillota; Clostridia; Lachnospirales; Lachnospiraceae
Description: RNase P RNA component class A
Rfam family: Bacterial RNase P class A
About the family: Ribonuclease P (RNase P) is a ubiquitous endoribonuclease, found in archaea, bacteria and eukarya as well as chloroplasts and mitochondria. Its best characterised activity is the generation of mature 5'-ends of tRNAs by cleaving the 5'-leader elements of precursor-tRNAs.
Source: RNAcentral